RNAcentral lists this unclassified non-coding RNA (380 nucleotides) under uncultured bacterium. Its description in RNAcentral is "contains 16S-23S intergenic spacer region". The record is from RNAcentral.
UCCGGUUUGUCACCAGCAGUCACCUUAGAGUGCCCAACUGAAUGCUGGCAACUAAGGUCAAGGGUUGCGCUCGUUGCGGGACUUAACCCAACAUCUCACGACACGAGCUGACGACAACCAUGCACCACCUGUCACUCCGUCCCCCGAAGGGGAACCCUCUAUCUCUAGAGGUAGCGAAGGAUGUCAAGACCUGGUAAGGUUCUUCGCGUUGCUUCGAAUUAAUCCACAUGCUCCGCCGCUUGUGCGGGCCCCCGUCAAUUCCUUUGAGUUUUAGCCUUGCGGCCGUACUCCCCAGGCGGGGUGCUUAAUGCGUUAGCUUCGGCACGGACGGGGUCGAUAUCCGCCCACACCUAGCACCCAACGUUUACGGCUAGGACUAC